Transfer RNA from Ovis aries (sheep), 72 nucleotides. It matches the Rfam family "tRNA". Rfam says of the family: Transfer RNA (tRNA) molecules are approximately 80 nucleotides in length. Their secondary structure includes four short double-helical elements and three loops (D, anti-codon, and T loops). NCBI's taxonomy places the organism in Eukaryota, Metazoa, Chordata, Mammalia, Artiodactyla, Bovidae. The record is from Rfam.
UCCCUGGUGGUCCAGUGGUUAGGACUCGGUACUUUCACUGCUGGAGCUCAGGUUUGAUCCCUGGUGGGGGAA